Molecule: ribosomal RNA, 738 nt
Filed under: Choerophryne grylloides
Lineage: Eukaryota; Metazoa; Chordata; Amphibia; Anura; Microhylidae
Description: partial 12S ribosomal RNA
Rfam family: Bacterial small subunit ribosomal RNA (bases 1-495)
Source: RNAcentral
UCAGCUGUAAAAUAUUAACCCACACUCAAACCACCAGGGAAUUACGAGCCCAAGCUUAAAACCCAAAGGACUUGACGGUGUUCCAUCCCCCUAGAGGAGCCUGUUCUAUAAUCGAUUUUCCCCGAUCUACCUUACCGCCUUUUGAAUCACCAGUCUGUAUACCUCCGUCGUAAGCUUACCGUGUGAACGCACCCAGUAAGCCAAAAGAUACUUUACCCACACGUCAGGUCAAGGUGCAGCCUACAAAGCGGGAAGAAAUGGGCUACAAUCUCUACCUUAGAACAAACGGAAGACUGCAUGAAACACAGCCUGAAGGCGGAUUUAGCAGUAAAAAGAAAACAGAGAGUUCUUUUUAACCGGGCACUGGAACGCGUACACACCGCCCGUCACCCUCUUUAAACUAACCAAAAAGUUACUAACACUACAUAAUAAUACAGAAGAGGCAAGUCGUAACACGGUAAGCGUACUGGAAAGUGCACUUGGAACAAAAUGUAGCUUAAUUGAAAGCAUCUUGCUUACACCAAGAACAUGUCCGGAAACCUGACCAUUUUGAGCCCAGCCCACAGCCCUUCCACUCUUAAUAUAAUUCCCCUUAUUUACAAAUUAACUAAAACAUUUUCUUGGCUAAGUAAAGGCGAUCAAAAAGCUUCUAGGAGCCCUAACAACAGUACCGCAAGGGAAAAAUGAAAUAAAAAUGAAAUAAAUUUUAAGCACAAUAAAGUAGAGAACCCCCUCGUA